UCAAGUAGGGAUACCCGCUGAACUUAAGCAU
This 31-nucleotide ribosomal RNA is filed under the name Septoria arundinacea. RNAcentral describes it as "partial 28S ribosomal RNA". The record is from RNAcentral. Lineage: Eukaryota; Fungi; Ascomycota; Dothideomycetes; Mycosphaerellales; Mycosphaerellaceae.